Molecule: ribosomal RNA, 634 nt
Filed under: uncultured bacterium
Lineage: Bacteria
Description: bacterial SSU rRNA
Rfam family: Bacterial small subunit ribosomal RNA
Source: RNAcentral
GCUCGCGGCCUAUCAGCUUGUUGGUGGGGUGAUGGCCUACCAAGGCGACGACGGGUAGCCGGCCUGAGAGGGCGACCGGCCACACUGGGACUGAGACACGGCCCAGACUCCUACGGGAGGCAGCAGUGGGGAAUAUUGCACAAUGGGCGCAAGCCUGAUGCAGCGACGCCGCGUGGGGGAUGACGGCCUUCGGGUUGUAAACCUCUUUCGUCAGGGAAGAAGCCUUUUUGGGGUGACGGUACCUGGAGAAGAAGCACCGGCUAACUACGUGCCAGCAGCCGCGGUAAUACGUAGGGUGCGAGCGUUGUCCGGAAUUAUUGGGCGUAAAGAGCUUGUAGGCGGUUUGUCGCGUCUGCGGUGAAAACCCGGGGCUUAACCUUGGGCGUGCCGUGGGUACGGGCAGGCUAGAGUGUGGUAGGGGAGACUGGAAUUCCUGGUGUAGCGGUGAAAUGCGCAGAUAUCAGGAGGAACACCGAUGGCGAAGGCAGGUCUCUGGGCCAUAACUGACGCUGAGAAGCGAAAGCAUGGGGAGCGAACAGGAUUAGAUACCCUGGUAGUCCAUGCCGUAAACGUUGGGCGCUAGGUGUGGGGCUCAUUCCACGAGUUCUGUGCCGCAGCUAACGCAUAAGCGCCC